AUCCUUUGAUCCUGGCUCAGAACGAACGCUGGCGGCGUGCUUAACACAUGCAAGUCGAACGCGAAAGGGACUUCGNNNNNNNNNAAAGUGGCGCACGGGUGAGUAACGCGUGGAUAAUCUNNNCAAUGGUCUGGGAUAACAUUUCGAAAGGGGUGCUAAUACCGGAUAAGACCACGGAGUCUUUGGACUCAGCGGUAAAAGGUGGGGACCUUCGGGCCUACCGCAAUUGGAUGAGUCCGCGUACCAUUAGCUAGUUGGUAGGGUAAAGGCCUACCAAGGCGACGAUGGUUAGCUGGUCUGAGAGGAUGAUCAGCCACACUGGAACUGAGACACGGUCCAGACUCCUACGGGAGGCAGCAGUGGGGAAUUUUGCGCAAUGGGGGAAACCCUGACGCAGCAACGCCGCGUGAGUGAUGAAGGCCUUCGGGUCGUAAAGCUCUGUCAGAGGGGAAGAAAUGCGGGGUGCUAAUAUCACUUCCGCUUGACGGUACCCUCAAAGGAAGCACCGGCUAACUCCGUGCCAGCAGCCGCGGUAAUACGGAGGGUGCGAGCGUUGUUCGGAAUUAUUGGGCGUAAAGCGCGUGUAGGCGGUUUGUUAAGUCUGAUGUGAAAGCCCCGGGCUCAACCUGGGAAGUGCAUU
RNAcentral lists this ribosomal RNA (640 nucleotides) under uncultured Desulfuromonadales bacterium. RNAcentral's name for it is "bacterial SSU rRNA". It matches the Rfam family "Bacterial small subunit ribosomal RNA", at positions 1 to 627 of the family's 1533-position model. Lineage: Bacteria; Pseudomonadati; Thermodesulfobacteriota; Desulfuromonadia; Desulfuromonadales. The record is from RNAcentral.